GGGAGCGGGAGCGGGAGCGAGGGUGGGGGCCGCGGCGGGCGGCCCGGCGGCCUCCUCGCGCGACCCCCGAGCCCCUCGCCCGGCCCCUCGGCCGGAGACCGCCAGGCUAACCCUAUCAAACCUUGUGUCCUUGCGCUGCAUUCAUUUAAUGACCUCGCCCUUUGUUGCGGCAUGCAGGAUCUAGUUCC
This is a long non-coding RNA of Balaenoptera musculus (blue whale), 188 nucleotides long. RefSeq lists it as uncharacterized. NCBI's taxonomy places the organism in Eukaryota, Metazoa, Chordata, Mammalia, Artiodactyla, Balaenopteridae. The record is from RefSeq and is a predicted model, not a curated record. The transcript is spliced from 3 exons.